RNAcentral lists this long non-coding RNA (2825 nucleotides) under Capsella rubella. Its description in RNAcentral is "long non-coding RNA (CRUB_LNC003325)". Lineage: Eukaryota; Viridiplantae; Streptophyta; Magnoliopsida; Brassicales; Brassicaceae. The record is from RNAcentral.
UGACCGACGAAAAUCCACCGACUCAAACAUAUCGCAUAACUAGAAUAACUCGUGGACUUUUUGGGUUUUGUGCUUUUUCUUAUUUUCAUAAGAUUAUAAGAAGUCACUUUUGAAAGUUCAACUUUUCCACUUUCACUUUUAUAUAUAUAUAUAUAUAUUAGUCAGGUUUCCACUUUCCACUUUCCACUUUCCAUGUGUUUAUGAAUAAUUGGUUUGUAUUUUAUUUUUUAUUGAUUUUUUCAGCUAUAUUAUAUUUUCUUUUUUAAUUUUAGAUUGUAUUUGUAUAGGAAAUUUAUUGAGUUUUAUCUUCAUUAGUACUUGAUAAAUUAAGUGUGUCUACUAUAAAUCAAUGUAUAGAUCUAAACGGAAGUACCAUGGAGAAUUAUACAAGAACAUGUGUUUUAACAAAUUAAGUAUUUAGCAUAGAUUGAUGAGUGGGUGUAAACGGAAGUGUCGUGGAGCAUCAUAAAAUAACAUGUGUUAUUAGGAUUCCUACCCAGUACCAAAUAUAGAUCUAGAUGUUAAUUUUGUAGGCCUUUUAAUAUGUUGGCCCGAAAGUAGAAACUGAUUUGUGGGUUUCGGGGGGAUUGUUGUAUUUUUUUUUGUUACAUUAUUUCUUUAUAUAUUGUCAUAAUUUAACUUUUUGUUUUAAGUUUUUUUUUUUGGUUUUGACGUAAUUUAUAUCUCGUUCUGAUCAUUUUUAUACUAUUAUAUAUUCGUUCUGGUUUUUUGUUUAAUAUUUUUUUGUAUUUUAAUAUUGAACAAUUUUAAAAUUUAACAUAUUAGUAUAAUUUGCUUUAUAUUUAGUUCAAUUUUUUAAUUAUGUUUUUAAAAAAUUUUAAUUUUCAAUUUUUAUGAAAGAUUGUGAAUUUUUUAUUUUGUUUAUUAGUUUACCAUAAGUGAUCUAUUGAAACAAAAAUAAUUAAUAUUGAAACUUUUAAAGAAAUAUUAUUUUUGUUGUUACUAUUUUUAUAUGUGUUUUUAAAAUGAGAAUUAGUAAGUUUUUUUAUUUUAUUUUUAAAUCAAUUAUAUUUUUGUUUUAUAAUAUAAAAUAUAGAGAAAUUGAUACUAAUAACCUUUUUAUGAUACCAUCUUUUAAAAAUACCCUCUUUUUUUACCAUUUUCAUUUUUGCCCUCUCUUAAAUUUUAAUGGCCAUUUUACCCUUAUUUGAAAGAAUAUUCUUUCCCAAAGGAAGGAAUAUUUCUUCCUUUGAUUUCCCGCCAAAAUUUUCCUGCCAAAAAUUUUUUUUUUCAAAAUUUUCCCGCCAAAUUUUUUUAAGGGUUUACAAGAUUUUUUAAAGAGUCUUUUAAAGGGUUUAAAAGGGUUUUUAAAGGGAUUUACAAGAGUUUGUAAAUGGUUUUUAAAAGAUUUGUAAUGGUUUUUAAAGGGUUUUAGAAGCUUACAAAGGUUUUUAAAUAGUUUUUAAAUGAUUUAAAAUGGUUUUUAAAAGUUUUUAUAAGUUUAUAACAGUUUUAAAAUGAUUUACAAGGAUUUUUAAAGGAUUUUAAAAAUUUAUAGAAGUAACUCCCUAUAUCUCUCCUUGUCAUCAUUUCUUCCCAAAAAGUUUCUCCUCCCACUUGAUUCUCUGUUCAUUUAUCUUCAUCAGACGCAGCUUCCUAUUCCUGGCUUUAGCUUCUUCAACUUCCUCGUGCCUGCCCUCUACUUCAGUCUGAAUAUCAUCCAAGAUCUUUACUCCACUGUAAGCACCCCAGAAGCCAAAGGUGGAAGCUAUCACCAAUGACCAAACACGUCCCCCAGUGCUAGCUUUUUCUUCAUCUCUGCAGAAAUCAAAUAAAUUUCAGCAACUAUAACUAGUAUAAACCCAAAAAUUGUCAAAAGAAACAAAAAAAAGGAACUUUACCCACGAAUAUUGAGUGAUACACAGGAAGAGUCUAAAGGACGAACUUUGUUAUCUGCAAAUUUUCCGGUUCAAAGAACAGAGCUGAAGAGAAUAAUUCCAACUCCAUUAAGCAAUGAUUAGAAAACUAGUAAAAAAUAUAAGGCCACAGAGAAAGAAGAAGUGUACCCACGAAAUCACAAGACGAUUCAAACGUACGGACUUUUUUUAUCUGAGAAGUUUACGGGCGAAAAGAAGAAAUGCUGCAGAGAAAAAUAACCCAAAUCCAAUCACCAAAUGAUUAGAAGAACAAGAGAAAACAUAACCACGAGAAAGAAGAAGAAGUCUUACCCAAGAAAUCACAAAAGGAGUCAAACGAACGGAACUUAUUAUCUGAGAAAUUUACCGCGUAAGAACAAAUGCUGCAGGGAAAAUCCCCAAUUCGAUUAAGAAAUGAUUAGAACUAAGAGAAAACAAAUUCACAAGAAAGAUCAAGAAGCGGUACCCAGGAGAAGCAGCGAAGAUUCAGAAGAACUGACGUUGUAUAUUUUCCGGGAAAAAAGAACAGACUGCAGAGGAAAUAGAAUCCAUAUCGAUUGAGGAAAGUUCGAACUAAUAUAAACUUGAAGAUCUUCGAAAGAAGAUACGCUAUCCAAAUGCUUGAUUCACAAGAAACGAGUUAAAAAGUACGGACUUUGAUUUCCGGGAAAACAUCGCAGAGAAAAACCCAAAAUUCGUUAAAGAAAUGAGUAGAGGAACUUAAAGAAAACAUAUGGCAUCGAAAGAAGAAGAAAAGCGUUACCUACGAAACUCUUGCGUCGCAAGGAAGCGUUCCUUCAACCUCAGCUUCUUUUCCCAACGUCGUGCUCUGGUGUCCUCGCUUGCUUCUUCGAUUCUGUACAACUCUAGAACGAAUUCAGUAUAAGAUAAUCUGAUAUUUUCAGAAGAUUGAAUUCGCAGAUGAGAAUCACGGAAACUACUCAAUCG